Molecule: ribosomal RNA, 591 nt
Filed under: Vishniacozyma dimennae
Lineage: Eukaryota; Fungi; Basidiomycota; Tremellomycetes; Tremellales; Bulleribasidiaceae
Description: eukaryotic LSU rRNA
Rfam family: Eukaryotic large subunit ribosomal RNA
Source: RNAcentral
CAAGGAUUCCCUUAGUAACGGCGAGUGAACCGGGAAGAGCUCAAAUUUGUAAUCUGGCGUCCUUCGGGCGUCCGAGUUGUAAUCUAUAGAGGUGUUUUCCGCGCCGGACCACGUUUAAGUCUCCUGGAACGGAGUAUCAAAGAGGGUGACAAUCCCGUGCUUGACGUGACGACCGGUGCUAUGUGAUACACUCUCAACGAGUCGAGUUGUUUGGGAAUGCAGCUCUAAACGGGUGGUAAAUUCCAUCUAAGGCUAAAUAUUGGCGAGAGACCGAUAGCGAACAAGUACCGUGAGGGAAAGAUGAAAAGCACUUUGGAAAGAGAGUUAAACAGCACGUGAAAUUGUUAAAAGGGAAACGAUUGAAGUCAGUCGUGCACUUGGUAUUCAGCCGUCUCUGGCGGUGUAUUUGCCUUGUGCGGGUCAACAUCAGUUCUGACCGGCGGAAAAGGGCUGGAAGAAGGUGGCACCCUCGGGUGUGUUAUAGCUUCCUGUCGUAUACGUCGGUUGGGACUGAGGAAUGCAGCUUGCCGCAAGGCCGGGGUUCGCCCACGUUCAAGCUUAGGAUGUUGACAUAAUGGCUUUAAACGACCC